AUUGAAGUGUCCAAUCAGAAUCAUUUAUUUCACCUCGGUUCAUGGCAUGCUGUAUCGAUAUAUCCUCAUCAGAGGAAAGAUAUUCAAGCCAUUGGAUUGAGCUGUUUGAGAAUGUCUUCUGAUAGUGGUGGACAUUUUUUAAAUUGCACCAGCUGCACAAAAAUGUGUGAUGCAUUUAUGGUGAAACAGAUCCAAACGCUGGUUAAGAUUACAAUUGUUUCAUUAUGUGACUGCGAUUUUCACACACACACACGUAAUGUCACUGAGAAUGAGCUGCACAGUUGAAGUUUACAUACACUUAGGUUGAAGUAAUUGAAAAAAAUUAUCUACCACUCCACAGAUUUCAUGUUAACAAACUAUAGUUUUGGCAAGUCGGUUAGGACAUCUACUUUGAGCAUCACACAAGUAAUUUUUCCAAAGAUUGUUUACUUUCACGAUUUCACAGGGGACGGAGGCAAGCGAAGGGUUGAAGGAAGGAGAUUUUAAUAUAAACAAAAAGGAAAACAAAAAUGAGCGGUGUGCGCUACAGAAUACACCAUUUGAAAGGACACAAGAACAUGAAACGUCACACUACAACAAUGACCUACAGGAACGGAGAGAAAAUGGCUGAACUAAGACAUGGACUAACAAUGUGAACAGAAACAGGUGGGGGCUAAACACAGGUGAAAGGAAUAAACCAAUUAACUGAAACGAGAACUGGAAAGACCAAACAAGAACAAGUCAAACCAAGGACACAAAGAAAACAUGGAGCGGUAUUGCCCGGUUGGCUGGAACCGUCACAUUUACAGAUAUUAUUUCACCUAUAAUUCACUAUAUCACAAUUCCAACUGUUUUUCAAAAGGAUAUAUAAAAACAGGGGGCACCAGGAGGGCAUUUUCCGCCAAAUAAAAAAAUACAAGCGUACAAAAAGAAAAAUACCAAACAUUUUCGCCAAGUGAAUAGGCUAUGAAAAAGGUGUUAAUUCAAACUCUAGUGCACAGGUCCAGACUUGUAGUUUUAUCACAUGCAUUGUUUGUCCAUGAAUAAGCUAUAGAAAAACCGAGAGAAGUUUUUGGAAAAAUACAACAUCCUUUUUUCCAUGUAAAUAGACUACAAAAAUGCCCUUGCGGAUCUACAAACCCCAUUCCAAAAAAGUUGGGACACUGUACAACUGUGAAUAAAAACAGAAUGCAAUGAUGUGGAAGUUUCAAAUUUCAAUAUUUUA
Esox lucius (northern pike) is the source of this 1204-nucleotide long non-coding RNA. Lineage: Eukaryota; Metazoa; Chordata; Actinopteri; Esociformes; Esocidae. The record is from Ensembl.